RNAcentral lists this ribosomal RNA (441 nucleotides) under uncultured bacterium. RNAcentral describes it as "partial 16S ribosomal RNA". It matches the Rfam family "Bacterial small subunit ribosomal RNA", at positions 338 to 795 of the family's 1533-position model. The record is from RNAcentral.
CCUACGGGAGGCAGCAGUGGGGAAUAUUGCACAAUGGGGGAAACCCUGAUGCAGCGACGCAGCGUGAGCGAGGAAGUAUUUCGGUAUGUAAAGCUCUAUUAGCAGGGACGAAAAAAGACGGUAGCUGACUAAGUAGCCCCGGCUAACUACGUGCCAGCAGCCGAGGGAAUACGUAGGGGGCAAGCGUUAUCCGGAUUUACUGGGUGUAAAGGGAGCGUAGACGGGAAGGCAAACCAGAAGUGAAAGGGCAGGGCGCAAACCUGUACAUGCUGUUGAAACCGUGGGGCUAGAGUGCAGGAGAGGUAAGUGGAAUUCGUAGUGUAGCGGUGAAAUGCGUAGAUAUUAGGAGGAACACCAGUGGCGAAGGCGGCUUACUGGACUGUAACUGACGUUGAGGCUCGAAAGCGUGGGGAGCAAACAGGAUUAGAUACCCGUGUAGUC